This 462-nucleotide ribosomal RNA is filed under the name uncultured bacterium. RNAcentral describes it as "partial 16S ribosomal RNA". It matches the Rfam family "Bacterial small subunit ribosomal RNA", at positions 28 to 507 of the family's 1533-position model. The record is from RNAcentral.
GACGAACGCUGGUGGCGUGCUUAACACAUGCAAGUCGAACGGAAAGGCCCUUCGGGGUACUCGAGUGGCGAACGGGUGAGUAACACGUGGGUGAUCUGCCCUGCACUUUGGGAUAAGCCUGGGAAACUGGGUCUAAUACCGAAUAUGAUCAUCGGCUUCAUGGUCGGUGGUGGAAAGCUUUUGCGGUGUGGGAUGGGCCCGCGGCCUAUCAGCUUGUUGGUGGGGUAAUGGCCUACCAAGGCGACGACGGGUAGCCGGCCUGAGAGGGUGACCGGCCACACUGGGACUGAGAUACGGCCCAGACUCCUACGGGAGGCAGCAGUGGGGAAUAUUGCACAAUGGGCGCAAGCCUGAUGCAGCGACGCCGCGUGAGGGAUGACGGCCUUCGGGUUGUAAACCUCUUUCAGCACAGACGAAGCGCAAGUGACGGUAUGUGCAGAAGAAGGACCGGCCAACUACGUG